CCUAUUCAGAGUAGAUCCCUUCACAAAUCAUUUAGGCUGCUGGUUUCCAAUAGGUUUACUCCAAGUAGAACUUAGACGAGUGUUUAUCAACAAAUCCACACAUUUAAAAAAUAAUAAUCCGAAUAACAUAGAAAUGACAGAGAACUGACUUAAUUGAUUGAUAUAGUGCAUUUAUAUUCUUCCUUUUUCCCCAGGAACUCAAAGUGGCCUACAUGGUUCUCCCCUUCCUCAUUUUACCCCUACAACAAUCCUGUUAGAUAGGUUAGGCUGAACACAAGGUCACACUCAGUGGGCUUCAUUGUCAAAAGUGGAUUUGAACCCUGGUUUCCCACAUCCAGUCCAGCACCCUAAGGACUGUACCACAAGAGUCUCUCAACUUAUGGAUAAACAAGUGCAGUAGCAAUUGGGACAGGAUAUAUUCUGAUUUGCUUAUCUUUAGCAAAGCCCACCCUUCAAUACAUCGCCCAUCAGGAGCCCCCACAAAUAUGUGAGGCACCGCUACAAAGCAGCAUCACAGGAACUUACUCAUUAGGUGGAGCACCUUCAUUAAGCUGUUUACGCUCUGUAAAAUAACUAGUGAUACAAAAGUGAGAUAUGGAUCUCAUGAUUUGUCUGACAUCUUGGGUUUGAUGAGGCCAACAGUUAAGGGGAGUUGUAACUGUGCCACUCACCAUUCCUGGGGUGCCUCACUUCCCAUGGGAGUGGCCAGAAGAUGGGUAUAAAGAGGAGCUCUGGUCCCCAAGCUCAUCAUUCGAAUCCAUUGAGACUUCUCCAUCGUUCCAGCACAUCUGCUAAACAAGGUAAGCUCAAUGCUCAGAUCAUCCUCCUUCCUUUGAAUGGAUGGAAACAUCUUCAGCUAUGCACUGAUGCAAUGAUAAUGCUAUUUGGGUAGGAGGCUGCAAAGGGUUGAUUCGGGUUUUUGAUACAGUGUGCAAUUCCUUCCAAUCAUUGGAGGGAGAGGGACUUUUUUCUCGAUGCAAAUGAGAAGUGGCUUGAUUUCCAACAGUUCUCCCUUUGUUCUCUGGGUAUUUGCUGCUAAGCUUUGGGGUGAAAUAUUGGUGCACAGUGUAGCUACUGUAUCCACCAACAUGCAGAAGCUUGUUGUAAUUGGAAUUGGGCGACAGUACUUGAGCAGCAGAGGUCACAGCAGAUGAAUUGGUUGCUUGAAUGAUAACUGCAGCUAAGCCAAAGUUUUCUUCAAGGCAUUUUAAUCCUUUUAAAUUAAAGGAUUACUCUGUCAGACAAAAAUUCACCCAGGAAUUGUUUCCGGCAGAGGCCUUAUACAUCCAUGCACAGUUUGCAGGGCCAGACCUGCUUAACUUGUGUAGAGGAGCAAUGUUAUCCCAUUAUCUGACCUCCAUAUUUACACCAGAUAAAUGGUUUGGCUUGUUAGCUUGCAGUCAUCCAGGAAAGCACUGAGGAAGCAGAUUCAAGGAAGAUAGUACAGGAAACAGCUGAAGCUAGUGAGUCUGGAGGUGGUCAAUCAGUGUCUGAGUUCCAUCACCACAAAGUAGGAACAAAAUAGAAAAAAGGGGAUACAGGACAAUACAAUCUGACAACACAACAUGGCACAUCAAUACAACAUGGUUAUGUUCUACAUGUGGGGAAAUCUUUUGCACUGGCUAGAUACGUUUACAUGACAGCUAGAAACAUAUCCAUCCAUCUACCUACCUACCUAUAGGUCUCAAAAUUUGUAUGCUAUUCAGUUGUUUGCAAAAUAAGGUUGUUGUGUUUUUUUAAAAAAAGAAACAGUAAAACUUUCCUUUUUUUUUUUUAAUGAAAACAUUCAAAGGAUAAUUAAAAUAACCAAUAAGCUAAAAGCCACAUUAAACCAUCAUUGUUUCUCAAUAGGCUUGAUUAAAGAAAGAUAUUUUAGCAGGGGCAGAAAAUACUACUGCAACCUGAUAUCAACUGUCAGGAAGUUCCAAAAUGUGGGUGGUGCAACACUAAAAUAUCAAUUUCUUAGAAAUGUGCAAUGAGUACCAUGUGGCAUCUGUAAGAGUGCCAGUUUCAGAGAUCAAAGUGUUUAAAUGAAUGGACAUUUAUGGAGAAAGGAAACUGGUCCUGAACUGUCUCUCCUUCCUGACACACGCACAAACAAACCAACACACAAACAUGCGUUCAACCAUGUGAUCCAACACACUGCCAGUCACCACCUGUACUCCCUGGUGCUGCAGCCUGGACACAAGUUGACCACCAUGAGAAUGAGGCCCUUUGAGAAAUGAGAAUUGCAGCCAGCAGUGUGCAUUAACUAUGCUUUCUCCACUUUCCAGGUCUAACACACCACACAAAAGCCGAAAGAUGAGCAAGCAAAGACAAAGCAGGGGGGGCUGUUGCUGCUGCGGCAGUUCAAGGGGCGGCUGCUGCUGCUGCUCUGGAGGUGGAGGAUAUGGCGGUGGCGGACAGUCCAGCGGAGUCAUUGUUAUACCAAGCGGAGGUGGAUAUGGAGGUGGAUAUGGAGGUGGCCAGCAAAAGAUCCCAAUGGUUGUUGGCGGAGGAUCUGGAGGGGUUUGCUGUGGAGCCAGUAGCGGUGGCGCAGUGUGCUGUGGAUCAUCCGGCGGCGGUGGCCAGUCUUCUGGGUGUUGCGUUGGAGGUGGAAUGGGUGGUGGAUAUGGAGGUGGAUAUGGAUAUGGCCAGCAAAAGAUCCCCAUAGUUGUUGGUGGAGGAUCUGGAGGGGUUUGCUGUGGAGCUAGCGGCGGCCGUGGUGGUGCAGUAUGUUGCAGCUCGUCCGGCUCCGGUGGCGCCGUUUGUUGUAGCUCAUCCGGUGGUGGAAGCUCGGGUGGGGUUAAGGUGAUUGGAGGAGGAUACGGUGGAGGAGGAUACAGUGGCGGCAGUGGGAAAACCAUUGUUGUGCCUGGUGGAAGCAGUGGUGGCGGCAGUGGCGGAGCUGUGUGCUGCAGCAGCGGCAGUGGCGGAGCUGUCUGUUGCAGCAGCGGUGGAUCUGGUGGUGGAUACUCACAGACCAAGUGCCCCAUUGUCGUCCCUCCAUGCAUUGGGCAAACGAAGCAGGUCUGUCCAUUGCCAAGCAUCAAGUAAACUGCAACAUUUGCCAAGCAACCCAAGAAAAGCGAACUUUGCUACCUCGCAUCAGCAUCCUGACAACGACAUGUUAAACCCAGGACACUUCUGCAUGUUGCUUUCUUUGCCCUUUCAUUCUUCAAUGGCAUUUUAUGCUUGCAUGUUCAAUGUGUGGCUCAUUCUUCAAUGUAACUUAUGAACGGCUGUGUGUGUUUGCGGUGGAUGGGAGUUCCCUCAUCCACCUACCCCUGCUGAUUUCCUUGCUUCAAUUUCCCAUAAUGCAUGGGAGAGAAUAAAACUUAUUUCAGAAUCAACACAUCUGCAGUGUCUUCUUCCAUCACCCCAUUGCCAUUGUCAUAAUUCAUCACACCUCCAUGGUUCUCCCAAAUUUUCAAAUGUUGCUGCAUAUUAUAGUUAUUCUACACCUUAUCUUCAACACAAUUUUCUCAGAUAAGAUCUCCUGCUGUUCUUAUUCAAAGCAUACUUGUGUUUUAACAAGAUCACAGUAGGUUUUUUUUAAAAAAGAAACAAUCUAUGAACAUUCCCCACAACUCCUUAAAGUCUGCCUCAUCCUUAUCUCUAAUUCUACUUGUUAAACUUGCCAAUUCUGAAAAAUUCCAUCAAUUUCAGCUGCCAAUCUUCUAAAAAAAAACCCCAAAAACAAAUCUUUACUUGGUACAAAAAGGAAGACAAAGAGCAGCCAAGUUGGAAUCUAUAGUGAAAGAAAUCCAUAAAUGGAGGACUACCACAGAGAAGAUCCAGUUCCUCAUACCUGCUUAUGGACUUCUCUCGGAGGUGGCAGGAAAAGGAGGACGUCAAUUGAUGAUCUCAGUAUCUGGGCAGCUGCACAUGGGGAAAGGUGGGGUGUUUUAGGUGGUUCCUAAGCUGUAUAAAAUUGAAAAGUUUGGAACCAAUCCUGAUGGAUUUGAAGGAACCAUUCUUCGAUCCAGUUACAAACUCAGGAAGUACAGCUAAGGUACACACACAACUCAGGCAGUUUCAAUCUAUUCCACACAAGAAUGUCCAUCACUCAAUAACACAACAUGUGAUAAAGGAAUACACCUGGAUGUUAAAGGUCAGUGGAGCGGCUUUCACUAUAGGGAACUCCCAUCAAACCUGGACAGCAGUGGUUAUUGGUCCCCAAUGGGACUGGUAGGGCAGAAGGUUGGGAAUCCUCCAGUAGACUGUGUCAGAGUCAGUUAGGAAGAGUCAGUUUGGUCAGUUUGGUUCCCCCCGCACCUCUCUCUCUCUCUCUCUCUCUCUCUCUCUCUCUCUCUCUCUCUCUCUCUCUCUAUAUAUAAUUUUAAAUACUCAUUUUUACAUCCCUAAAAUAUCAAUGACUUCCCUUCUUCUCUUUCCAUGGUUCAUUUUACAGGUCAUACAACCCUGCAUAUUUUACAAAAACAAUACCAUUCAGUAUGCGCUUAUUGCAUCCAUCAAAACUUAUUUACACUGUUGAAUUCAUCUUAAUGCUGCCAAUGUUUUCAGCUAUACACAAUUAUUUCCCAUAUAUUUAAUAAACGUUUUCCAGUCUCCUCUAAAUGUAUGUUCUUCUUGUUCUUUUAUUAUAUAUGUUAAGUCAGCAAGCUGCGCAUAUUCUUUCAACAAGUUGCCAUUCUUCUUUGGUUGGGACCUCGCUUGUUUUCCAUUUUGGGGCUAGCAAAACAUAGGCCGCAGUAAGGUAAAGGUAAAGGUAAAGGACCCCUGACAGUUAAGUCCAGUUGCGAACGACUGUGGGUUUGCAGCACUCAUCUCAUUUUACUGGCCGAGGGACCCGGCGUUUGUCUGCAGACAGUUUUUCCGGGUCAUGUGGCCAUCAUGACUAAGCAGCUUCUGGCGAAAACAGAGCAGUGCACAGAAACACCGUUUACCUUCCCCCGGAGUGGUACCUAUUUAUCUACUUCCACUUUUUGGCGUGCUUUCAAACUGCUAGGUUGGCAGGAGCUGGGACCAAACAACAGGAGCUCACCCCAUCAUGGGGAUUCGAACUGCUGACUUUCCUAGUGGCAAGCCCAAGAGGCAAGCCCAAAAAUAACCCUUUUUGACACCUGGGAAUUUCAGUCUGAAUUAUUCCCGACAGAAAGGACUCCGGGUUUUAGGGGGAAAGUACUUUUACAGUGGUACCUCUGGAUACGAACUGGAUCCGUUCUGGAGCCCUGUUUGCAUCCUGAAGCGAACGCAACCCACGUCUGCGCAGGUCACGAUUCGCCACUUCUGCGCAUGCGUGUGACAUCAUUUUGACUGUCUGCGCAUGCGCGAGCGGCAAAACUGGAAGUAACGUGUUCUGUUACUUCCAGGUUGCCACGGAGCGCAACCCGAAAGCGCUCAACCUGAAGCAACUUCAACCCAAGGUAUGACUGUAAACAUUUUUUUUUCUUCAGUUCAUUAUGGAUCAUUUCCAAAUACUCUUUUACCCUUUUACAAGUUCACCGCAUAUAAAAGAUCGUGCUAGUUUGGUCCUCAUUCUCUUCCUUGUUGUGUCCUACAAAGAUGGCACUGAUGGCUAAGGAUGAGGAAGCUGAUAAGCAGGACAACCCCCUGGACUUGUAGGCAGACAUGUGGGAGACUACAGAGACUGAGGUUGGUAAGGCAGGGUCUCAUUCACUCACAGGGUACUUUACAAUAUAAAAACACACUGUAAUAACAAACUAAAACAAUAACCCACCAAACACGGUUUGAAAGGCCAUAGAUCAUUUAAUUAGCCAAAGGCCUGGAAGAAGAGAAAUGUUUUUGCCUAGCAUCUAAAGAUGUUUAGUGAGGGCACCAGGCAAGCCUCCCUAGGGAUAGCACAAUCAUGAUUACCAUGAUUUAAAGACUACAUAGCUUAUAUUAUUUCACUGCCCCUUUAAAAAACCUACAACAUUCCCUGUGGGGAGAGUCAGAUCCUGCUUGCAGAUUUCCUAGGGAAUCUGAUGGGCCCCUGUGAGGUUAGAUCUUUAGGAUCCUGGACUAGAUGGGCCACUGGCCUGAUGCAUCUGCAGGGCUAUUCUUCUGUCCUCAUCCUCUUUCUUCCAGCUGUGAAAGGCUAUUAGCCACGUUAGUUAAAUAGGUUCAGAUAAGCAUAGGAACAGAGGAAACUGCCUUACACAGAGUCAGGCCAUUGGUCCAUCUAGUUCAGAUUUCUCUACAGUGGUACCUCGGUUUAAGAACAGUCCGGUUUAAGAACAAUUUGGUUUACAAACUCCACAAAACUGGAAGUUGUGUCUUGGUUUGGGAAUUUUACCUUGGUCUAACUACAAAAUCCGAAUGGUGGAAGGGCACCGGCGGUGGGAGGCCUCAUUAGGGAAAGCACGCCUUGGUUUAAGAAUGGUUUCAGUUUAAGAACGGUCUUCCGGAACGGAUUAAGUUCGUGAAUCGAGGUACCACUGUAUAUUCAUUUUCUGUCUGUCUGUCUCCAUGGUUUCAGGCAAGCAAAAUUCCCAGUCCUACCUGGUGAUUCUAGGGAUUGAACUAUGGACCUUCUGCAUGAAAAAUGCAUGCGCACCAGCUAAGCUAUAUUCCUUCCUUAUUAACUUCUCAUGAAGGAGAAGACAAUCAGUGGCUACUGGUCACAAGGACUAUGUUCUGCCUCCACUGUAUGCCUCUGAAUCCUAGUUUCUAGGAAUCACAGGUGGGAAGAAUCAUAAAAUAGAAUUGUAGAGUUGGAAGGGACCCUGAGGGUUAUCUAGUCAAACACCCUGCUAUUUAUUUACUUACCUACCUACCUACCUACCUACCUACCACUCUAAACCCAAAGGUCUCAGGGCAGUUCACAGAAUAAAAUCAAAAUAUAAAAUCACAAAAUACAUAAUCAAAAUAAAAACAUCAACCCAAUAACCCCGCUGGCAACCCCCCCCCCCCCCCAGCAUUUUAAAAGGGCAUAAGAUGUAAAUCAGAUCAACCGAAGGCCUGGUUAAAAAGGAACGUUUUUGCCUGGUGCCUAAAGGUGUGUAAUGAAGGGGCCAGGCAAACUUCUCUGCAGAGAGCAAUCCACAGACGGGGAGCCACUGCCGAGAAGGCCCCGUUCUUGAACUGCCACCCUCCGGACCUCUGGAGGAGGAGGCACACGAAAAAGGCCUCAGAAGAUGAUCUCAGGGUCCAGGUAGGUUCAUAUGGAAAGAGGCGGUCCUUGAGGUAUUGCAGUCCUGAGCUAUUUAAGGCUUUAUAGAUCAAAACCAGCACUUUGAAUUGGGUCUGGAAACUAAGUGGUAGCCAGUGCAGUCGGACCGGGAUCGGUGCAAUAGGUUCAAACCAUCUUGCUCCAGUGAGCAACCUGGCCGCUGAAUUCUGCACCAGCUGAAGUUUCUGAACCAUCUUCAGAGGUAGCCCUACAUAUAACACAUUGCAGUAAUCUAACCUUGAUGUUACCAGAGCAUAGGCAACAGUAGUUAGGCUGUCCCUGUCACCAGAGCAAGAUGGAACCAUUAAUGAGCACUCUUUUUGGAGGGGGGUUUAAAAAUUAUUACUUUUUUACAUUUUUUUUUACAUUUGAACUUUAACAAUUUCAAACAUUAAAAUAAAAGGUUCUUUUGUACCUUCAGACCUCCUUCCUUCCCUCCAUGGGCUCCAUAUUUAAGAUUAAAUUUGCUGCAUCUUUUACCAUUGUCCAUCUGUUCUAUUUCCAUAGUUAAAGGUAAAGGUACCCCUGACCUUUAGGUAUAAAUAAUGAUGAUGAUGAUGAUGAUGAUGAUGAUCAUUAUCAUAUCCAGCAGAGCUCUUCUUGUGCCAUUUUACAUUGUGAACUGUCCUGUGAUCUUCUACUAUCCAAUUCAAUACAAAUUGAAUAAAUGACCCAUGGGGUCCCUUCCAAUUCUACAAUUCUAUGAUUCUUUGGGACGUGGGUGGCGCUGUGGGUUAAACCACAGAGCCUAGGACUUGCCGAUCAGAAGGUCGGUGGUUCGAAUCCCCACAACGGGGUGAGCUCCCUUUGCUCGGCCCCUGCUCCUGCCAACCUAGCAGUUUGAAAGCACACAGUGCAAGUAGAUAAAUAGGUACCGCUCCAGCGGGAAGGUGAACUACUUCUCCGUGUGCUGCUCUGGUUUGCCAGAAGCGGCUUACUCCUGCUGGCCACAUGACCCGGAAGCUGUACGCCGGCUCCCUUGGCCAAUAAAGCGAGAUGAGCGCCGCAACUCCAGAGUUGUCUGCGACUGGACCUAAUAGUCAGGGGUCCCUUUACCUUUUUAUGAUUCUUUACUUCAUUGUCUCCUUUUCCCUCUAGUGGCCAAAAGGAGGAACAACCUCUACCAACCAAGCGGUGGAUGAAAAACGUACCGUACAUCAUUUGGCAGCUAGAGGCUUGUCAGGAGUGGGAAUGGAAUGUCCCAGCAACCAGACAAUGGUGCUGGCUUCUCAUGUUUGGAAUGCAUGACUCAUCCAGCUUCAGGCCAAACUGUUCUUGGAUUUGGAUGUUCCACUCAGGUACUCUGCGGUGAGAUGCCAGGAAGCCACAGGCUUAUGUGGGGCAUGUUGAACCUCACCUGUUGAUGUUGAAGUUAGAACAUCCCAGAAUCCAGAAGCAAUUGGCCAAUGACACUCCAGCAGCUGGAAGAAGACUGAGGAACUUCUUCUUUCCAGGUUUAGAGGAGUAUGCUGGAUGCUCAGGUGAGAGGAGACCUGUGAUCAGUUAGUCACAACAUCAAACAAAGCUCUGCAUGCCCAUAAACAGAGAAUUGUUACUUGAGAAUGAGGAUAGAUCUGUCAGCAAGACUAUGGACAUAAUAUCUAUCAUUGGGCUUCCAAUAGGCAUGCUCACUAACUAAGCUACAUUCCUUCUCUAUUAACUUCUCGUGACUCCUGGUCACAAUCGCUAUGCUCCGCCUGCACAGUUGGGGACAAUAUGCCUCUGAAUACUAGUUGCGAGGAAUCCCAAGUCUUGUUGUUGUUUAGUCAUUUAGUCGUGUCUGACUCUUCAUGACCCCAUGGACCAGAGCACGCCAGGCACUCCUGUCUUCCACUGCCUCCCGCAGUUUGGUCACCAUCUGCAGUGAUCAUGAAGCCCAAGAAAGUAAAGUCUCUCACUGCCUCCAUUUCUUCCCCUUCUAUUUGCCAGGAGGUGAUGGGACCAGUGGCCAUGAUCUUCGGUUUUUUGAUGUUGAGCUUCAGACCAUAUUUUGCGCUCUCCUUUUUCACCCUCAAUAAAAGGUUCUUUAAUUCCUCCUCACUUUCUGCCAUCAAGGUUGUGUCAUCUGCAUAUCUCAGGUUGUUGAUAUUUCAUCCGGCAAUCUUAACUCCGGCUAGGGAUUCAUCCGGC
Molecule: long non-coding RNA, 9247 nt
Filed under: Podarcis lilfordi (Lilford's wall lizard)
Lineage: Eukaryota; Metazoa; Chordata; Lepidosauria; Squamata; Lacertidae
Source: RNAcentral